AACGAACGCUGGCGGCAUGCCUAACACAUGCAAGUCGAACGGGAUCCUGGCUUCGGUCAGGUGAGAGUGGCGGACGGGUGAGUAACGCGUGGGAACCUGCCCAGUGGUGGGGGAUAACUGCGGGAAACUGCAGCUAAUACCGCAUGAGCCCGAGAGGGGAAAGAUUUAUCGCCAUUGGAGGGGCCCGCGUUCGAUUAGGUAGUUGGUGAGGUAACGGCUCACCAAGCCGACGAUCGAUAGCUGGUCUGAGAGGAUGAUCAGCCACACUGGGACUGAGAUACGGCCCAGACUCCUACGGGAGGCAGCAGUGGGGAAUAUUGGACAAUGGGGGGCAACCCUGAUCCAGCAAUGCCGCGUGAGUGAUGAAGGCCUUCGGGUUGUAAAGCUCUUUUGCCGGGGACGAUGAUGACGGUACCCGGAGAAUAAGCCCGGCUAACUUCGUGCCAGCAGCCGCGGUAAU
This 460-nucleotide ribosomal RNA is filed under the name uncultured bacterium. RNAcentral's name for it is "bacterial SSU rRNA". It matches the Rfam family "Bacterial small subunit ribosomal RNA", at positions 29 to 524 of the family's 1533-position model. The record is from RNAcentral.